Molecule: long non-coding RNA, 655 nt
Filed under: Macaca mulatta (Rhesus monkey)
Lineage: Eukaryota; Metazoa; Chordata; Mammalia; Primates; Cercopithecidae
Description: lncRNA (ENSMMUG00000061870.1)
Source: RNAcentral
UAUCCCUGCAAUAACCAGGAGACCAAGAGGACAAGAAGCCACUUUCCCAGCUCUUGGCUCAAGGAACACAUCAAUCAGCCAUGGUCUGGCAUGAAGAGAAUUGUAGAGAGCACCUCUCAUGACUCGAGAGAAUUGACAUCUGGUGUUAAAAACCAAAGAUCAUACAAGUGACUGAUAUGUAUCAUUUUCCUUAUUGAAUAUGGAAGAAAAGGGAGGAGGAUGCAGAAAUGGUAGGCUAAAAGCUCCAGAGAAAAACUUAACAGAUUUUAUGAUUUUGCAGGAGAUGUAUUAGCAAGACAGGCGUGGGGUAGAAUGGAGUAGCCAUGAACAUAGAGGAAAAGUGGAGAGAGUGAAAACAUUUUGGAGUGAAAAAACAUAGAUACAUUUAAGGGAGAAGAAAGAAAAAAUAAUAAAGCACAAUAUUUAAAGAGAAUAAAAUAAAACCAGAAAGAUACAGAGAGGGGAAAAAGAGCAGGCAACAAAUUAACAGGGAAAAGAAAGCACAACCAGAAAAAAAAAAGAAAAUGAAUUGCUUAUUGAUGAAUAAAGAAAGAGAGAAAAAGAAAAAUAAGAAAGGAGAUGGAGUAAGCACAUAGGAUCUCUAAACACCUGGCUCCAGGAGCCCAUCUGACCACAGUUCGGACUCCAGCCAUGC